RNAcentral lists this ribosomal RNA (414 nucleotides) under uncultured bacterium. Its description in RNAcentral is "bacterial SSU rRNA". It matches the Rfam family "Bacterial small subunit ribosomal RNA", at positions 42 to 455 of the family's 1533-position model. The record is from RNAcentral.
UCAGGCCUAACACAUGCAAGUCGAACGAUGAAGCUGGAGCUUGCUCCGGUGGAUUAGUGGCGAACGGGUGAGUAACACGUGAGAAAUCUGCCCUUGACUCUGGGAUAACUGCGGGAAACUGUAGCUAAUACCGGAUAUUUUCCUUGGUGGGCAUCCACUGGGGAAGAAAGAAUUUCGGUCAAGGAUGAUCUCGCGGCCUAUCAGCUAGUUGGUGAGGUAAUGGCUCACCAAGGCGACGACGGGUAGCCGGCCUGAGAGGGUGACCGGCCACACUGGGACUGAGACACGGCCCAGACUCCUACGGGAGGCAGCAGUGGGGAAUAUUGCACAAUAGGGGCAAGCCUGAUGCAGCAACGCCGCGUGAGGGAUGAGAGCGUUCGGGUUGUAAACCUCUUUAGCAGGGAAGAAGCGAAA